GCCCCCGUAGCUCAGAGGAUAGAGCAGCGGUUUCCUAAACCGUUGGUCACACGUUCGACUCGUGUCGGGGGCG
This 73-nucleotide transfer RNA is filed under the name Polyangiaceae bacterium. RNAcentral describes it as "tRNA-Arg". It matches the Rfam family "tRNA". Rfam says of the family: Transfer RNA (tRNA) molecules are approximately 80 nucleotides in length. Their secondary structure includes four short double-helical elements and three loops (D, anti-codon, and T loops). The record is from RNAcentral. Lineage: Bacteria; Pseudomonadati; Myxococcota; Polyangiales; Polyangiaceae.